AGAGUUUGAUCCUGGCUCAGGACGAACGCUGGCGGCGUGCUUAACACAUGCAAGUCGAGCGGAAAGGCUCCUUCGGGGGUACUCGAGCGGCGAACGGGUGAGUAACACGUGAGUAAUCUGCCCUUCACUUCGGGAUAACUGCCUGAAAGGGUGGCUAAUACCGGGUAUUCUCCUUGCACCGCAUGGUGUGGGGUGGGAAGUUUUUUCGGUGGGGGAUGUGCUCGCGGCCUAUCAGCUUGUUGGUGGGGUAAUGGCCUACCAAGGCUUUGACGGGUAGCCGGCCUGAGAGGGUGACCGGCCACACUGGGACUGAGACACGGCCCAGACUCCUACGGGAGGCAGCAGUGGGGAAUAUUGGACAAUGGGCGGAAGCCUGAUCCAGCAACGCCGCGUGAGGGAUGACGGCCUUCGGGUUGUAAACCUCUUUCAGCACAGACGAAGCGCCUGUGAAGGUGGUGACGGUAUGUGCAGAAGAAGCACCGGCCAACUACGUGCCAGCAGCCGCGGUAAU
This 511-nucleotide ribosomal RNA is filed under the name uncultured soil bacterium. Its description in RNAcentral is "bacterial SSU rRNA". It matches the Rfam family "Bacterial small subunit ribosomal RNA", at positions 8 to 524 of the family's 1533-position model. The record is from RNAcentral.